AAUAUUGCACAAUGGGCGAAAGCCUGAUGCAGCAACGCCGCGUGAGGGAUGACUGCCAUAGGGAUGUAAACCUCUUUUAGUAGGGAAAAAGCGAACGUGACGGUACCUGCAGAAAAAGCACCGGCUAACUACGUGCCAGCAGCCGCGGUAAUACGUAGGGUGCAAGCGUUGUCCGGAAUUAUUGGGCGUAAAGAGCUCGUAGGCGGCUUGUCGCGUCUGCUGUGAAAUCCCGAGGCUCAACCUCGGGCCUGCAGUGGGUACGGGUAGGCUAGAGUGCGGUAGGGGAGAUUGGAAUUCCUGGUGUAGCGGUGGAAUGCGCAGAUAUCAGGAGGAACACCGAUGGCGAAGGCAGAUCUCUGGGCCGCUACUGACGCUGAGGAGCGAAAGCAUGGGGAGCGAACA
Molecule: ribosomal RNA, 402 nt
Filed under: uncultured bacterium
Lineage: Bacteria
Description: partial 16S ribosomal RNA
Rfam family: Bacterial small subunit ribosomal RNA
Source: RNAcentral